Molecule: ribosomal RNA, 363 nt
Filed under: uncultured bacterium
Lineage: Bacteria
Description: bacterial SSU rRNA
Rfam family: Bacterial small subunit ribosomal RNA
Source: RNAcentral
AGCGAACGCUGGCGGCAGGCUUAACACAUGCAAGUCGAACGCACCGCAAGGUGAGUGGCAGACGGGUGAGUAACACGUGGGAACGUGCCCUUCGGUUCGGGAUAACUCAGGGAAACUUGAGCUAAUACCGGAUACGCCCUUUUGGGGAAAGGUUUACUGCCGAAGGAUCGGCCCGCGUCUGAUUAGCUAGUUGGUGGGGUAAUGGCCUACCAAGGCGACGAUCAGUAGCUGGUCUGAGAGGAUGAUCAGCCACACUGGGACUGAGACACGGCCCAGACUCCUACGGGAGGCAGCAGUGGGGAAUUGUUCGCAAUGGGCGCAAGCCUGACGACGCAACGCCGCGUGGAGGAUGAAGACCUUGGU